ACUUCGAUCAUCACAUCAUUGUCAUCAACAUCGUCGUCGUUGUCGUCGUCGUCUAUUUUUUUUACGGUUAUUUUAUAUGUGCGACCAACAACAAGCGACAAAUUCUCGAAAUAUAACUAGCAAUAUUUUACAAAAAAUUUUGAAUUCCUAUAGGAAAAUCUAUGUGAAAAUGUCAAAACAUUCAGUGAUGUAUGUGCCGUCGUCGUCGUCGUCGUCUAUAUCUACCAUUUGUUAGCCUCAUUACUGUCGUUAUCGCCAUUCUAUAAUUUCCGCGCUUUUUUUUGUUUUGUUUUGUUUAUUUAUUUAUUCGAUUGUCAUUACCCCAUUCUUGAACAUUAUCAUCAUCAUCAUCAUCAUUGUCGUCAUUUUAUUAUCAAACAUUUUU
Molecule: non-coding RNA, 385 nt
Organism: Dermatophagoides farinae (American house dust mite)
Lineage: Eukaryota; Metazoa; Arthropoda; Arachnida; Sarcoptiformes; Pyroglyphidae
Source: RefSeq, a predicted model, not a curated record